RNAcentral lists this ribosomal RNA (433 nucleotides) under uncultured bacterium. RNAcentral's name for it is "partial 16S ribosomal RNA". It matches the Rfam family "Bacterial small subunit ribosomal RNA", at positions 29 to 507 of the family's 1533-position model. The record is from RNAcentral.
AACGAACGCUGGCGGCAUGCCUAACACAUGCAAGUCGAACGAGACCUUCGGGUCUAGUGGCGCACGGGUGCGUAACGCGUGGGAACCUGCCCUUAGGUUCGGAAUAACUCCCCGAAAGGGGUGCUAAUACCGGAUAAUGUCUUCGGACCAAAGACUUAUCGCCUUUGGAUGGGCCCGCGUUGGAUUAGCUAGUUGGUAGGGUAAAAGCCUACCAAGGCGACGAUCCAUAGCUGGUCUGAGAGGAUGAUCAGCCACACUGGGACUGAGACACGGCCCAGACUCCUACGGGAGGCAGCAGUGGGGAAUAUUGGACAAUGGGCGAAAGCCUGAUCCAGCAAUGCCGCGUGAGUGAUGAAGGCCUUAGGGUUGUAAAGCUCUUUCACCCGGGAUGAUAAUGACAGUACCGGGAGAAUAAGCUCCGGCUAACUCCGUG